This is a non-coding RNA of Danio rerio (zebrafish), 886 nucleotides long. NCBI's taxonomy places the organism in Eukaryota, Metazoa, Chordata, Actinopteri, Cypriniformes, Danionidae. The record is from RefSeq and is a predicted model, not a curated record.
AGGUUCAUUGCGAUCCCAAGGUUCACUGCGGUUUUCCACAAGCCUGUUUCUGCCUAUCACCAUGAGUGAUUCCUCAAUACUCAGAUUUAUCAUCAAGAUCUCAAUUAUAAGCUCAAGUUUUGAUGACAACUUGGUAAUCUGCAGAAAGCACCACCAUGUAAGGAAGGCCAAGACCACUCUGGAAUCAGUCAAGGGAUUGCAGUGACCAGACAUGCUACUGUAACUCUCAUGGUCAUGUGCUAGAAUUAGCAGGUAUUCAACAAUUUGGCCAUCUCGCUGACCUAUUGAUAUCAGAAGACCACAACAGCUCUGCAAAGCAAAUUGGAAAACAGAAUCCAUGAAACUGGCAGUGACCGGAAACCAGUUGGAAGACUUUGGUCUGUGACGUAGAGGAGUGGGCAGAGGUAGCAGAAGCAAAGACAACAAAAAGAAGAAGUGAUGUGGAUGUCUUCGUCAUAUUGCAUGACUCUGCUGACCCAGCAACAAAGAGAGGGUGUUCAACAUCAUCCUGCUAGUCAGGAUUCUUCAGGAGAAGCAGUGGAUUCUUGUGGCAGAGAUGGUCAACCACUAUAAAUACCUUUCAACUCAUCCUGGUUCUUUCAAAGAACUUUCCUGCUUGUUUGCUACUGAAAAGUACUGAUUCGACAUGUGGCCUUAACGAAGAGGGGUUAAAAGGUCUUUGGAUCAUCAUUCUCAAAAAGCAACAAAAUAACUGAGAAAUAAACAACAAUACGAUGGUGCAAUCUAGAGACCUGCAAGGUACCUGCAAGUUUUGGCUGGAGCAGAGAACAUAGAUUUUUUUAAAUAAAGCUCCAGCUGAUGAGUAUGACAUUGACUGUGGAUUUUCUUUUACUGUAAUCCAGAAGAGGAUGACCUUAACCCUGAA